This 1442-nucleotide ribosomal RNA is filed under the name Lacticaseibacillus rhamnosus. Its description in RNAcentral is "bacterial SSU rRNA". It matches the Rfam family "Bacterial small subunit ribosomal RNA". Lineage: Bacteria; Bacillati; Bacillota; Bacilli; Lactobacillales; Lactobacillaceae. The record is from RNAcentral.
AGUCGAACGAGUUCUGAUUAUUGAAAGGUGCUUGCAUCUUGAUUUAAUUUUGAACGAGUGGCGGACGGGUGAGUAACACGUGGGUAACCUGCCCUUAAGUGGGGGAUAACAUUUGGAAACAGAUGCUAAUACCGCAUAAAUCCAAGAACCGCAUGGUUCUUGGCUGAAAGAUGGCGUAAGCUAUCGCUUUUGGAUGGACCCGCGGCGUAUUAGCUAGUUGGUGAGGUAACGGCUCACCAAGGCAAUGAUACGUAGCCGAACUGAGAGGUUGAUCGGCCACAUUGGGACUGAGACACGGCCCAAACUCCUACGGGAGGCAGCAGUAGGGAAUCUUCCACAAUGGACGCAAGUCUGAUGGAGCAACGCCGCGUGAGUGAAGAAGGCUUUCGGGUCGUAAAACUCUGUUGUUGGAGAAGAAUGGUCGGCAGAGUAACUGUUGUCGGCGUGACGGUAUCCAACCAGAAAGCCACGGCUAACUACGUGCCAGCAGCCGCGGUAAUACGUAGGUGGCAAGCGUUAUCCGGAUUUAUUGGGCGUAAAGCGAGCGCAGGCGGUUUUUUAAGUCUGAUGUGAAAGCCCUCGGCUUAACCGAGGAAGUGCAUCGGAAACUGGGAAACUUGAGUGCAGAAGAGGACAGUGGAACUCCAUGUGUAGCGGUGAAAUGCGUAGAUAUAUGGAAGAACACCAGUGGCGAAGGCGGCUGUCUGGUCUGUAACUGACGCUGAGGCUCGAAAGCAUGGGUAGCGAACAGGAUUAGAUACCCUGGUAGUCCAUGCCGUAAACGAUGAAUGCUAGGUGUUGGAGGGUUUCCGCCCUUCAGUGCCGCAGCUAACGCAUUAAGCAUUCCGCCUGGGGAGUACGACCGCAAGGUUGAAACUCAAAGGAAUUGACGGGGGCCCGCACAAGCGGUGGAGCAUGUGGUUUAAUUCGAAGCAACGCGAAGAACCUUACCAGGUCUUGACAUCUUUUGAUCACCUGAGAGAUCAGGUUUCCCCUUCGGGGGCAAAAUGACAGGUGGUGCAUGGUUGUCGUCAGCUCGUGUCGUGAGAUGUUGGGUUAAGUCCCGCAACGAGCGCAACCCUUAUGACUAGUUGCCAGCAUUUAGUUGGGCACUCUAGUAAGACUGCCGGUGACAAACCGGAGGAAGGUGGGGAUGACGUCAAAUCAUCAUGCCCCUUAUGACCUGGGCUACACACGUGCUACAAUGGAUGGUACAACGAGUUGCGAGACCGCGAGGUCAAGCUAAUCUCUUAAAGCCAUUCUCAGUUCGGACUGUAGGCUGCAACUCGCCUACACGAAGUCGGAAUCGCUAGUAAUCGCGGAUCAGCACGCCGCGGUGAAUACGUUCCCGGGCCUUGUACACACCGCCCGUCACACCAUGAGAGUUUGUAACACCCGAAGCCGGUGGCGUAACCCUUUUAGGGAGCGAGCCGUCUAAGGUG